UUUCCUUGCAGUCGAGCGACUGAUUAGAAGCUUGCUUCUAUGACGUUAGCGGCGGACGGGUGAGUAACACGUGGGCAACCUGCCUGUAAGACUGGGAUAACUUCGGGAAACCGAAGCUAAUACCGGAUAGGAUCUUCUCCUUCAUGGGAGAUGAUUGAAAGAUGGUUUCGGCUAUCACUUACAGAUGGGCCCGCGGUGCAUUAGCUAGUUGGUGAGGUAACGGCUCACCAAGGCAACGAUGCAUAGCCGACCUGAGAGGGUGAUCGGCCACACUGGGACUGAGACACGGCCCAGACUCCUACGGGAGGCAGCAGUAGGGAAUCUUCCGCAAUGGACGAAAGUCUGACGGAGCAACGCCGCGUGAGUGAUGAAGGCUUUCGGGUCGUAAAACUCUGUUGUUAGGGAAGAACAAGUACGAGAGUAACUGCUCGUACCUUGACGGUACCUAACCAGAAAGCCACGGCUAACUACGUGCCAGCAGCCGCGGUAAUACGUAGGUGGCAAGCGUUAUCCGGAAUUGUUGGGCGUAAAGCGCGCGCAGGCGGUUUCU
Molecule: ribosomal RNA, 550 nt
Filed under: Bacillus sp. (in: firmicutes)
Lineage: Bacteria; Bacillati; Bacillota; Bacilli; Caryophanales; Bacillaceae
Description: bacterial SSU rRNA
Rfam family: Bacterial small subunit ribosomal RNA
Source: RNAcentral